AAUAUUAAAUAUUUAUGAAAUAUACUCAAAAUAAUUAAAAACUAUUUUUCAGACUUUAAAAUAAUUUUUCAUAAUUUAUUUGGUAUUUUUAAUAAUUAAAAACUAAUUUUUCUAAUUUUUAAAUUAAUUUCCGGAAAAUCAGAAAUUAAAAUAAUUAAAACUGUCGCUAAAGGCCCCUAUAGUGACAGAAGUGUCGCUAUAGGUGUUCUUGAGCCUACCCAGAUCUUCAUAAGGCAGAACCGAGUGGCCUACUUUGACCGUGAAUAACUCUCUCAUCUUAACGAAUUUGGACAAUCUAUAAAUUGGGUCUUGUAGAGGAAAUACAAGACUACAAGAUCCAACAAUCAUAACCUCUAAACAAACAUCAGAUCUGGGAUAAAUCAGCCAUCAAAGUAGCUACCAAAGCUGUUCUUCACGAAGAACAGUUCGAGGUGCCUACUUUGGACCUCUAUAACUUGAUGAUCGUGUAACGUUUAUGUGAUCUAUCAAUUCCAGUGUGUAGACAACAUGUAGGACUACAACUCUAACACUUAACAUCAUCAUAACAACAAGAAAUCAAGCAUCUAAAGUAUGGUCAAACCUUGUCAGAAAAAUUAACACUUAGAAAAUUCUGGGCUGCCCAGAAUUUUCUGGUCAAUGCCGGUCAACCCACUUUGACCUUAAAUAACUCUUAAUCCGUAAUAUAUAUGGACCUGAUUCUUUUUGGAGGUUAAAUACCACAUAACAAGCUACACAUAUCAACCUUUAGAACACAAAACACAUUAAAGAUGACCGAGAUAUAAGGCCUGAC
RNAcentral lists this long non-coding RNA (790 nucleotides) under Panax ginseng (ginseng). RNAcentral's name for it is "long non-coding RNA (PGIN_LNC000610)". Lineage: Eukaryota; Viridiplantae; Streptophyta; Magnoliopsida; Apiales; Araliaceae. The record is from RNAcentral.